UGGGGAAUAUUGGACAAUGGGCGCAAGCCUGAUCCAGCCAUGCCGCGUGGGUGAAGAAGGCCUUCGGGUUGUAAAGCCCUUUUGUCCGGGAAGAAAUUGUACGGGUGAAUAUCCCGUGCCGAUGACGGUACCGGAAGAAUAAGCACCGGCUAACUUCGUG
Molecule: ribosomal RNA, 160 nt
Filed under: uncultured bacterium
Lineage: Bacteria
Description: partial 16S rRNA
Rfam family: Bacterial small subunit ribosomal RNA
Source: RNAcentral